GUCUCUUUGGAGACAUUUGAUAAAAUUAGAACGAUACAGAGAAGAUUAGCAUGGCCCUUUCCCUUGCACAUAUGCCCCGGAAACACUCUUUUU
Molecule: small nuclear RNA, 93 nt
Filed under: Sorghum bicolor (sorghum)
Lineage: Eukaryota; Viridiplantae; Streptophyta; Magnoliopsida; Poales; Poaceae
Source: RNAcentral